AUAUUAAAUUUUUUUACCUGAAAUGACUGAGGUAGAGUCGAUAUAGGUAGAAUCAAAGUAACUGAAGGUACCGAGAAAAAGUUCAUUAGGGUCACCAACCGCCUUAAUCGUAACGGGGUCAACGUGUUUUGAGAUACCAUAAUUUUCGGUAUCCCAAUACACAACGUUUUUGGCAAGUGUGUAAAAGGUAUCCUUUUUUGCAAGUGCGUAACAACUAUCCUCUUCAAACGGUAGAAUUACAAACUAACUAAAAUAAUUUACCUUGUAAUUCAGUAGAGUAAAUUUUACAAAUUCUU
RNAcentral lists this small RNA (296 nucleotides) under Arabidopsis thaliana (thale cress). Its description in RNAcentral is "ATSL291150". The record is from RNAcentral. Lineage: Eukaryota; Viridiplantae; Streptophyta; Magnoliopsida; Brassicales; Brassicaceae.